UACAGAGGUCUCAAGCGUUGUUCGGAUUCAUUGGGCGUAAAGGGUGCGUAGGCGGCGCGGUAAGUCGGGUGUGAAAUCUCGGGGCUUAACUCCGAAACUGCAUUCGAUACUGCCGUGCUUGAGGACUGGAGAGGAGACUGGAAUUUACGGUGUAGCGGUGAAAUGUGUAGAUAUCGUAAGGAAGACCAGUGGCGAAGGCGGGUCUCUGGACAGUUCCUGACGCUGAGGCACGAAGGCCAGGGGAGCAAACGGG
RNAcentral lists this ribosomal RNA (253 nucleotides) under uncultured bacterium. Its description in RNAcentral is "partial 16S ribosomal RNA". It matches the Rfam family "Bacterial small subunit ribosomal RNA", at positions 524 to 776 of the family's 1533-position model. The record is from RNAcentral.